UCUGGGGGCCGGGUUAUAUCUUUUAAGUGAAGAAAUUUUAGUUUUGAAUUUUAAUUUUUUUUGUGAAUUUUGAAAGUGUUUUUGGAGGUGAAAUUUGGAAAUAUUUUUUUUAUUCUUUUUAUAAAUUUUGAAAACCUUUCUUUUAACUUGGAUUUGAUACCCUUUUUUAUUUGGAAUUUUGAAGAUUUGGUAGUAAAAGUUGUCUUGAAACUUAAAGAAUUUGGCGGUGUUUUUAUCUUUCCAGAGGAACUUGUAUUUUUUUUCGAAACUACACGAAACAUCUUUUCUAGUUUUAGUUUGUAUAUCGUCGUAAUAAAUGAAACUUUUAAGUGAACAUUUAGGGUAAUUUUUUUUUGAAUUACAGAUCUUGGUCCAGCUUUUGGCUUUGGUUAAUAUGAGUUUCAAUAUUUUAGUAGGUAAAUACGGAAAUAUUUUUUUAAAGAAUUUGGAAGGUGGAUCUGGAAGUAUGUUAAA
Molecule: ribosomal RNA, 474 nt
Filed under: Hottentotta saulcyi
Lineage: Eukaryota; Metazoa; Arthropoda; Arachnida; Scorpiones; Buthidae
Description: partial 12S ribosomal RNA
Source: RNAcentral